This 2348-nucleotide long non-coding RNA is filed under the name Mus musculus (house mouse). Its description in RNAcentral is "long non-coding RNA chr6:61974781-61977129". Lineage: Eukaryota; Metazoa; Chordata; Mammalia; Rodentia; Muridae. The record is from RNAcentral.
UCAAGUGACCAUUGUUGUGUGGGUUUAUUUCUGGGUCUUCAAUUCUAUUCCAUUAAUCUACCUGCCUGUCUCUGUACCAAUACCACGCAGUUUUAAUCACUAUUGCUCUGUAGUACAGCUUGAGGUCCAGGAUGCUGAUUCAUCCAGAAAUAUCUGUAUGAUAAGAACUUCAUGUCUCUGAAGAAAGAAAUCGAGGAAGACUUCAGAGAAAGAUCUCUCCUAUGCUCGUGGAUUGGCAGGAUUAAUAUAGUAAAAAUGGCCAUCUUGCCAAAAGCAAUCUACAGAUUCAAUGCAAUCCCCAUCAAAAUUCCAACUCAAUUCUUCAUAGAGUUAGAAAGAGCAAUUCUUAAAUUCAUCUGGAUUAACAAAAUACCCAGGAUAGUGAAAACUAUUCUCAACAAUAAAAGAACCUCUGGGGGAAUCACCAUUCCUGUUCCCUCUUGAGCUCUGCUUAUUACUGUCUGUAGACUAUAGCAUGAUUACCCUUAUUUAACAGCUAUCCAUAUAUGAGGAAAUAUUAGCCAUGUUAGCCAUUCUGGAUCUGGGUUACUUCACUCAGAAUGAUCUUUUCUAUUUCCAACAAAUAGCCUGCAAUUUUUAUUAGCAUCUAAGUAAUACUCCAGUGUGUUAAAUGUAUCAGAUUUUCUUUAUCCAUUAUUCAGUUGAGGGACAUUCAGUUUGUUUCCACUUUCUGGAUGUUAUGAAUUUCAUUGAUCAAGUGUGAUAACGUACUGAACAGAACACUAAUAGGAAAGACAUUAAGAACAUAAUCAAUAAAUGGAACCCUAUUAAACUGAAACACUUGUAUAAGACAAAGGAUACUGCCAAUAAAACACAAUGAGAAAAAAAAUUUCACCAACUCCACAUUCAAUAGAGGACUAAUAUUCAAAAUAAAUAAAAAGAGAAUCCAGAAACUAGACAUCAACAAACCAAAUAAUCCAAUUUUAAGUGUGGUAAAAGCUAAACAAAGAACUUUCAACAGAGGAAUCUCAAAUAGCUGAGAAACACUUAUAAAAAAAUUCUCAGUAUCCUUAGCUGUCAGAAAAAUGUAUAUCAAAACUACUUUGAGAUUCCAUCUUACACCUGUCAUAAUAACUAUGUUCCAUUUCACAAGAGACAUCUCAUGCUGGCUAGGAUGUGGAACAAGGAGAACACUCCUCCAUUGCUGUUGGGAAUGCAAACUUGUACAGCCACUAUGGAAAUCAAUAUGGUAGUUCAUCAGAGAAUUGGGAAUCAAUCACUUCAAGACUCAACUACCACUCUUAGGCAUAUAGCCAAAGGACACUCCAUCCUGCCACAAGAAUACUUGCUCAAUCUGUAUGGUUUCUAUACCAAAGAUCCAGCAAAUGUUUGUUGAGUUGAAUCUUAUUCUUUUUAAAAUCUGUUAGUUUUGAGAUUAAAACAAUUCGUGUUAGCUCCUUUCUAUUCCAUGCAUUCAUGCAUCUAAUUGGUGUAUCUAAUUUUAGUUCAUUGAUAAUUAAAUAUAAUAGUAAAGUUAAUAAGUGUGCUUAAUUUCACACACCCCUAUUGUAUUCAACUUCAGAAGACGUUAAGAAUUCUAGACAACAUCCUAAGGGAAAUUGGACUGUAAAGGUAUAAAAUAAUAGCAAACAUAAUUAUAAAGAUUCUUUACAAGGAGACUUUUAAUGGGGUUGAGUUAUUUUGUUUGUUUGUUUUUAAUUUGCUAAGUUUUGUGAUUUCAGAGCAAAUGAUGUAAAUGAAUUUUCACAUUUAUCUACUAUUUUAGGUCACUUCUAUGUGAACUGGUUGAACUGCCCAUUUUCUUUUAUCAGCAUUAAAUUAUGAUACAAUCAUUAUCAGCUGUAAUCCCCCUUGUAAUAAAUAAUUUCAAUUUAGGCUUGGUGAAGAUGAAUGGAUUAAUAUUAAUUAAUUAAUAUUAAUAUAAUAUUAACAAUUAUAUAAGGCAUGCAAACUAGAAUGUGAAAUUUGCAAUGACAUCACUAAAUGUCACUUAAAUGAAUCAAUGACAACUUUAAAAUGUCACUCUUUAACCGAUAUAUAAAUAUAAAAACUGAGAAACUAGACAUUAAUAUAUAGAAAAUAAUCCUUAUGGUGGAAUAAAAUAUUUCAUGAGCAUUGUUCGUAAUUUCUCUGAAUAUGUUCAGAAAUUAAAGAGAAGGUAAUCACCUGAACUUUAAAAAUAAAGUAGAGAUUAUGUGUCUUAGGGGAGGUCAUAAAUUUGUAGGCAUUAAGUAGCAAGCGUGCUUAACUCUCCUUUCCAUCCCUUAGCACCACUGCCAAAGAGCUAACACCACAAAUUCAUGAGAUAGUCUGUAAUAACAAAAUGCCAAGCCAAAUGGGCUCUCUUCCCAGAAAUUCACUGAAGC